AGUUAUUGGCAGAGCUGAAUGAACUCUAUCCCAAUUGGAAUUUCUACUUCACAAACAUGACGGCAACUUGACCAUGGAGAUGUACGAAACCAGUCUUGGCUGCAAGACCGGCACAAACAACCCCCUCAUCAACUUCAUGGUGAGCAGAUUCCUUCAUUCGAGUGCUGGGAUCGAUGGGGUGCUACCUUGUCGAUGGAAUGAUGAACGCCAGAGGAAAGGUUGUGUCCGAAUAUCUACCGGUGAACAGGGAUAGAUUCUGAUCCUUGCCAAGGGUGACGCACCUGGUCCCUGCUCAACCAUCCAUUCACCCACUGCUUCGGGAGAUAGAUGGAUGGACCCUGAAAUAGACACUGUAACAGCGCCCUCAAGGAAAAGAUGGCACAACGUAGUACCGGGUGAGUGCAACACAUCACUGGAUCUGAAUCAGGGUGCUAGUGGCCAUGAGCUCACUGCGUUUCGGUUUGUUCCCCACUUGAGGUGGGAUGGUGAGGCUCCUUUCGGGUCCAAGUCGGCAAUGGGUCGAUCGGUCGACUGUGUGCGAGGUGCAAGCGCGUCAUUGGCGCCUCGGUGGAUCCAUUGGCCUGGUGAUUCAGCUUGGAUGAGGGGCAAUGCAGCAGUGGGUUCAGUCAGCAAAUGGUUUCUGUUUGUGGGUGAAACUGUGUGAAAUGGAUUGGCAUGAAAUGAAAUUCAGAAAGCAGUAGAAGUGCACUGCAUUUUUCUCUUUCUGAAGAAAGUGUGUGCACUGCUGCAUGGUUAAUUAUUGGGAUGGCCUCAAUGGCAAUGUUAGGUAUCAGAUAGUGGUAUAUUCUCAUGAGAGUACCAGAUGGAUGCCAUCCUUAUCUGACAGGUGGAGAUUCUACAUAGCAGCCUAUCAGUGCAUGGAAAAACUGGUAUGUUGAUGGAACUCAAGGUUGCUCUGAAGAAACUAAAGCAAACAACAGAGAUCAAGAGAGUGCAAUCUUCUCCUUUUCUUUUGCUGAGUGGAAUGCAUCUUUUCAUCUGGACUGUAGGCUACAAUCAACUCAAUUUUGUUUUCUCCAAAUGAAAAGAUGGAAAAGAAAGGGUCUACCGCUACAAAGCAGGUGAUCCUUUUUUUCCUCCUUGGAAAACAAAUACCCAAAUGCUGCCAAAAUAUGAGAUAUGGAUAUGUGAUAUGUCACUCAUGGUGAUAAGAGGUUGCAUUACAUGCUGGUGACAAAGCAUGCAGACCACCAACAGUUUCAGUCGCCUAGGACAAGACCCCAAGGUCAGCUCGCUGCAACUGGCCAAAGCAUUUCCGGCAAAAUUUUGGCCUCUAUCUCGAGGCCAUAAACUGACUGAACAACUUCGCUGGACAGAUACGUCGCAAAUCCGGUCGAGUCGGUCGGCGUCGCAUUCACGAUUAAUUUUCCACAAAAAUAGAAAUAAAAAGGGAAAAAUUGCAGAAAAGGAGAACAGGAAAAAGAUGAGCCGUUUCUCUUUACAGCUGAAAACCGCUAUAUCGGGCGCCUUUUGCCGUGUAUCAUCAGAUCAGCCGGAAUUGUGAGGAGCAGAGGCGAGCGGCACUUGGGUUGGGAGACGUCAGCCUCCACCCAACCAACACCUGCACCGGCUAGGCUCAUCCUGCCCACUGGUUUAAGGUAGCUAUUUAAGUGCAGUCCCUGUCUGAAGCUCACCACAGCAGCUGCAAGUUUCUCGGCAGUGCAGAUCAGAAUCAGCAGAUUAUUUUGUUUGAACAAACAAUCAAAAGUAAGUUUGGAAAUUCAGAGAUCUAUGUGACAGAGACCUGCUUCUGUCCACUGAUUGCAACCACUUAUUGGUAACCUCUUAGCACACCUACCUGUGCACAGCCCACUUAAUGGGCUUUGGGUGUGUACACAUUUAUGCAUCACCAUCUACUAUUAUUUUCUGAAAAAUAAAAUCAUGAUCUACUCUUGAAAGUGGCAAUUCACUCCGCCUAUAUCAUAUAUAUUUGCAGUGGUUUUAA
This is a long non-coding RNA of Triticum aestivum (bread wheat), 1966 nucleotides long. RefSeq lists it as uncharacterized. The transcript has 2 exons. NCBI's taxonomy places the organism in Eukaryota, Viridiplantae, Streptophyta, Magnoliopsida, Poales, Poaceae. The record is from RefSeq and is a predicted model, not a curated record.